Molecule: transfer RNA, 72 nt
Filed under: Flavobacterium sediminilitoris
Lineage: Bacteria; Pseudomonadati; Bacteroidota; Flavobacteriia; Flavobacteriales; Flavobacteriaceae
Description: tRNA-Thr
Rfam family: tRNA
About the family: Transfer RNA (tRNA) molecules are approximately 80 nucleotides in length. Their secondary structure includes four short double-helical elements and three loops (D, anti-codon, and T loops).
Source: RNAcentral
AAUGCUAUAGCUCAAAGGUUAGAGCAACAGCAAUGUAUGCUGGAGAUGGAGGUUCGAUUCCUUCUGGUGUUU